UCUCUGCAGCCGAAAUCGCGGCACCAGAAAAGCCUUGUUUGGGGCUUGAGACCUAAACUGGGCAAUAAUGCAACCCUUUUGCUGGCAUAAAGCAGCAAAGCUGCCCCCCCUCUUUAACCUUCACUCACCAUUUGUGGAUGUCAUGAAAGACUGGAAAAGGUCAGCAGAAUUUCUGAGGAAGGGUCACCGAACCCGAACGUUCACUCUGUUUUCUCAUCGACAGAUGCUGCCAGACCUGCUGAGCUAUUCCAGCAACUUUGUUUUUGUUCCUGAUUUACAGCAUCCGCAGUUCUUUUGGUUUUCAUUCCUUCCGUCGCUGCCGGCACGCAAUUAUUUCUGACGAAGAAUCUAGGCCCGAAACGUCAGUUUUGCUGCUUGGCCUGCUGCGUUCAUCCAGCUCUACACCUUGUUAUCUCAGAUUCUGCAGUUCCGACUAUCUCUGAUACAAUCCACAAUUAGCUGUGCGCAUGCUCUAUAGCUACACGCCGGUUUGAUGACGUCACACAACCAAUAGCAAUGAAGGGGCGCGACUGGAGGAUGGCACCGGAUCUGUUUGUCCUCCAACCGUUUGAGGACGAGGGGCGGGCUGCAAGAACAUCCUCGAACGGAAGGCGGGGCGGUGUUAUCCUUCCAACCAAUCGGGGAGACACAGUGACGGGACUGGAAUUCGAACCUCCUUCGGAACGUGUGACGGGCGGGGUUAGUGCUCCAACCAAUCAGUACACGGGAAGGCGGGUCUAACAACGUGACCAGAGCAUGCGCCGUAGGCGUGAUGGAGCCAGAAUGUUGUUCUCUGGAUUGAAGGGAGGUCUCUUGUCUGUCCAUUCUUUUUAUAGAGCAUUCAAUGGGAAGGAUUCCCAAAUCAUCAAUUCCAACCCGAUAUCACAGCAAAGUCUAACCGAGUCACUCUUUUCAGCAGUAUCUCAGUGUCAUCGGUCUUUCACCGUGCAAGACAUUGCUGUCUAAGCCAGAAUAUACUGCCCAUCUAUGAUUGCUAAGGGGGCUGUCAAGAGUCAACUGCAUUGUUGUUGGGUUGGAGUCACAUGUAGGCCAGACCAGGCAAUUAGACAGUAAGUUCAAAUCAAAUGUGAGAUCAAGAGCUGCCAGCAGUGUUCAGUUCUCAGGACCUGAGUAUCACCAGCCUUGGAAUAUGGAAGGAAAAAGCAUCGUUCACAGUGAAGAGAAACUGUACAGGUGGCCUGUGUGUGGACAAGGCUUCAGUCAAUCGUCUGGACUGUCGCUAUGUAAAUGCAAUCACAAUAAGGAAACAACAAUUGUGCUAAGCAGCACUUGCUUUGCAAUAUCAUGCUCAUAAAUCUCAGUUUCAGUUAAGCAAGAUUCACUCAA
Long non-coding RNA from Rhincodon typus (whale shark), 1347 nucleotides. RefSeq lists it as uncharacterized. NCBI's taxonomy places the organism in Eukaryota, Metazoa, Chordata, Chondrichthyes, Orectolobiformes, Rhincodontidae. The record is from RefSeq and is a predicted model, not a curated record. The transcript is spliced from 3 exons.